This 341-nucleotide RNase P RNA is filed under the name human oral metagenome. RNAcentral describes it as "Bacterial RNase P class A". It matches the Rfam family "Bacterial RNase P class A". From Rfam's summary of the family: Ribonuclease P (RNase P) is a ubiquitous endoribonuclease, found in archaea, bacteria and eukarya as well as chloroplasts and mitochondria. Its best characterised activity is the generation of mature 5'-ends of tRNAs by cleaving the 5'-leader elements of precursor-tRNAs. The record is from RNAcentral.
AGUCGGAAAGACGAUCGCGGGCGGACGCAGGAGCCGUCUGAGGAAAGUCCGGGCUCCACAGGGCAGCGUGCUGGAUAACGUCCAGCGGGGGCGACCUCCGGGAAAGUGUCAUAGAAAAGAAAACCGCCGGUUUUUCCGGUAAGGGUGGAAAGGCGCGGUAAGAGCGCACCAGCGGUCAGGCGACUGAUCGGCUUGACAAACCCCACGCGGAGCAAGACCAAAUAGGGAAGGGAUGAUGCGGCCCGCGGAACCUUCCGGGUUGAGUCGCUAAAGCCGCCGGGCAACCGUCGGCGCAGAUAAAUGAUCGUCGCCGCGCGAGCGGAACAGAACCCGGCUUAUUG